This is a long non-coding RNA of Gasterosteus aculeatus aculeatus (three-spined stickleback), 4293 nucleotides long. NCBI's taxonomy places the organism in Eukaryota, Metazoa, Chordata, Actinopteri, Perciformes, Gasterosteidae. The record is from Ensembl.
CAUUGCUUCUCAUCAAUAUUCCUCAUAACAAAUCCAUCCAUCCUUUGUAAAACAAGCUCAACCCUUGCUUCUCAUCAAUAUUCCUCAUUAAGAAUCCAUUCAUUCUUUGUCAAAAAAGCUUUGGUUUAUCGGCAGCUCCGUCCUCAAUAUACACGCUAAAAUGCAGGUUUCUUUCUUUACCCUUCGAUAGCUCAGUUGGUAGAGCGGAAGGACUGUAGGCUGAUAUUCAAUCUGCAAUUAGCAGGUAUCCUUAGUGUCGCUGGUUCAACUCCGGCUCGAAGGACAUUUUUAUAAUGUUGUCCGGUUUGGGUCAACAGGUAUUUCCUGAUCGCAAACCCUUGCUUCUUGUCAAUAUUCCUCAUGACAAAUCCAUCCAUUCUUUGUAAAACAAGCUCAACCCUUGCUUCUCAUCAAUAUUCCUCAUAACAAAUCCAUCCAUCCUUUGUAAAAAAAGCUCAACCCUUGCUUCUCAUCAAUAUUCCUCAUUAAGAAUCCAUUCAUUCUUUGUCAAAAAAGCUUUGGUUUAUCGGCAGCUCCGUCCUCAAUGUACACGCUAAAAUGCAGGUCUCUUUCUUUACCCUUCGAUAGCUCAGUUGGUAGAGCGGAGGACUGUAGGCUGAUGUUCAAUCUGCAUUUAGCAGGUAUCCUUAGGUCGCUGGUUCAACUCCCGCUCGAAGGACAUUUUUAUAAUGUUGUCCGGUUUGGGUCAACAGGUAUUUCCUGAUCGCAAACCCUUGCUUCUUGUCAAUAUUCCUAAUAACAAAUCCAUCCAUCCUUGGUAAAACAAGCUCAACCCUUGCUUCUCAUCAAUAUUCCUCAUUAAGAAUCCAUUCAUUCUUUGUAAAACAAGCUCAACCCUUGCUUCUCAUCAAUAUUCCUCAUUAAGAAUCCAUUCAUUCUUUGUCAAAAAAGCUUUGGUUUAUCGGCAGCUCCGUCCUCAAUAUACACGCUAAAAUGCAGGUCUCUUUCUUUACCCUUCGAUAGCUCAGUUGGUAGAGCGGAGGACUGUAGGCUGAUGUUCACUGUGCAAUUAGCAGGUAUCCUUAGGUCGCUGGUUCAACUCCGGCUCGAAGGACAUUUUUAUAAUGUUGUCCGGUUUGGGUCAACAGGUAUUUCCUGAUUGCCAACCCUUGCUAACAAAUCCAUCCAUCCUUUGUAAAACAAGCUUUGGUUUAUCGUCAGCUCCAUCCUCAAUAUACACGCUAAAAACCAGAUCACGUUCUUUACCCUUCGAUAGCUCAGUUGGUAGAGCUCAGUCCCUCUUCUCCUACUUACAAAGCUGGUAAUCACCUUGACUACAUCUUCACUAGAAACUGCUCUACUCCACAGAGUUACCUCCACAGACGUCUCUGACCACUUCUUCAUCUCUUACUCUCUCCCACUCUCUGUAACUAACGACCCUGCCCCAUCAACUGACCCUGUACCUGUUUGUCGCAACAUUCGCUCCCUCUCUCCUUCCUCUCUGGCUUCCUCUGUUCUAUCAGCUCUCCCUUUAAUUGUCUCCUUCUCACUCCUGCAUCUGAACGUUGCCACAGAGACUCUCCUCUCAACUCUUUCCUUCUCUCUCGACUCUCACUGCCCUCUUACUACACAACAGGCUUUUAAAUCCCCUCCGGCUCCGUGGCUGCCUCAACCGGUGCGUGCCGUGAGAGCCACAAUGCGAGCAUCGGAAAGGAGAUGGCGUAAAUAUACAACAACCUGCUGACCUGCUUGCAUUUCAAUCUCUCAUUUUUCUGCUUCUAUCUCUGCUGCCAAAAGCUCCACUACCAAUCUUCUACCAAUGCAGAAUUGAAUCUUCAUCUCCUUCUAUCUCCACCGACAGGUUCCAACAACCUCCUUGAUCCCCACCAGUCAGGCUUCAAGGCAGGCCAUUCCACAGAGACUGCUCUCCUUGCUGUCUCAGAAACUCCACACUGCUUGAGCAGCUUCUCUUUCUCCCCUGUCCUCAUCCUUCUGGACCUCUCUGCUGCAUUUGACACAGUCAACCACCAGAUCCUUAUUUCCUCCCUUCAGGAACUUGGUGUCUCAGGCUCUGCUCUCUCCCUUCUCUCGUCCUACCUUGACGGCCGCACCUACCGGGUAACCUGGCGAGGAUCUGUGUUGAACCGUGUCCUCAUACUACUGGAGUUCCUCAGGGUUCCGUCCUGAGUCCCCUGCACUUCUCGCUCUACUCCUACCACAGCUAUGCCGAUGACACCUAACUAAUUCUCUCCUUCCCUCACUCGGACACCCAGGUGGCGGCACGAAUCUUUGCCUUUCGGACAUCUCUCAGUGGAUGUCCGCUCACAAUCUGAAAAUCAACCCCGACAAGACUGAACUACAUCUUUUCCUGGGAAAAGACUCUCCUACCCAGGAAUUGACCAGAACUGGCAACUCCGUGUUAACGCCCACUGUGACUGCUAGAAACCUCAGAGUGACACUUGACAGUCAACUCUCCCUGAAUGGCACUUAUCUAUAGCAAAUUGGCUUAUUUGAUUUGAACUUUCUUGAUUCUUUCUCUUUUGUAAGGACCUUUGUUGUUUGUAUCCCUAUGGUUGAAAUCCCUAUGUUUAUUGUCCCUGUUGUGUUUAAUAAAUAUAUCUAAUUCACUAAUGUUUACAUCAAUUAGUGAAUCGUUGUAGUGAUUAGUUAAACAAACAAAUCAAGUACUUUUGUCUCACUAAAAUAGUAAUUACCAGUAGUGGGGUAAACAUUUCUUUAUUUGCAAACAGCACUAGAUCAUUCACGUGUCUCUUUGCCCUGUGUGCAGGAGAACAAUUCAGUGCAAUGUGCUUUAAAACGCACAGCGACAAUAGCUUUAAAUUAUGUUGGACAAUUAUAAAAUUCAUGUUCUUUCAUCUUUAAUAAGGCCCAUUCAAAUAUUUCCAUUCAGAAGUUGUAUAAUCCUUAAAUUCAUGAACAAAGCAGGAAAUAUAGAAAACUUGUAUGUACAGAAACACAAAUGAACGCAACUCCUCAAGUUCCGUUUUUAAUAAACUAGUUUUUUUAAUGUUUCUGUUUAGCAUUCCUGUUUCCUAAGUAGUUCAAGUAGUUUACACAACAGUGAUAUGAUGCCAUAUCACCCAGUUAUCUGGAAGUUUGCUUUCCAACAUGUUGGCCUGUGAUCACAUCCAAAUAUAAAUUCAUUUUUGACCACUAAACAAGCUGUUCAUUUUCUUUCAUUGUAAUAUUUGUAGAGACCAGAAUAAGUUAAAUGAUCCAGCAAUUCACAAGAAAAUGAAGAAAGAUAAGAUGGACAUGUAAAGAGAGACAAUAUUUUAAGUAGGUUGAAAAUCAUCUUCUACGUGCUGUCCUUUUCAAUCACUUUGCAAUACCUCAAAUUUAUCUUGUGACCCCAUCAGUGGAAGGAACGAAAAACAAAGGCAGACACACUCAUUUCCAUUUUGAUAAUGGUUUGCCUACUCAACUACCAUUUAAAUUAUCAGUGGUCGUCCAGUCCUUGACAGUCCAGUCCUUGACAGUUACUUUUACCAUUUAAAUGAUUAAAACGAAAAUACUGAUUUACCAUUGUAGUUUUUUUAAAACCAAAAAUGCCAAUGGCUGGCCGAUAUAGAUGAAUACAAAAGACAGACAAUACAACAAUAGAAAAAUAAAAGGUCUACACAGAUCCUCCAAAGUGAGUAUUUUAAGUAUUAAAAAUCAAUAAAUUGUGUAAAUACGUGAAUGACAUGAAUUAACACUUUGCAAAAACAGUAAAGACCCAAUGCAAUGCACCUAUUUUGGAAUGUUAUUUCACUAUUUAUUGAUAUCAUAUUUAUUUAAUAAAUUAAGUAUAUAUAUAUAUAUAGACUUUUGAAUUCUGGCAUGAAUAUUUCUAAUAGGACAUGCUCAUACAUAUCUAUAUAUGUUAUAAUGUACAGAGAGUUGCAGGAAUGAGUCCUAAGACCUGGACAUCAAUCAGCGUUUUUGUACUUUUGAUCAUAACACAAACAAAAAAGCCCUCUGGUCAGCCCUUCCGAAACAACUUCACACAGCAGAGUUUCACCAUCAGUGACUGCUGUAAGAAGGCGACACUUUGCUACUAUAAUAUAUCAGCUGCAGCAAAGGUUUUUGGGUGAGUUCAGGAAACUUAUCCCUCCUUCCAUCACUUCAUGUAGCGUUAAGGAGGAACUUUGAGAAACAUUGCAUUACAUUAUAGUGAGAUAAACAAUGUCAUAAUGUGCUGAAAAGCCUUUAGUGUACAAAGCAACGGGACUAUAUGAGUAGUGUUUUCCCUAACCCUAAAACAAUAUAUCUGGGAACUGAAUUCAGUAAAUGCAAUGUGUGCCUACGUAAACAGGUUAUUGCGCCUAU